RNAcentral lists this ribosomal RNA (253 nucleotides) under uncultured bacterium. RNAcentral's name for it is "partial 16S ribosomal RNA". It matches the Rfam family "Bacterial small subunit ribosomal RNA", at positions 524 to 776 of the family's 1533-position model. The record is from RNAcentral.
UACAGAGGUCCCGAGCGUUGUUCGGAUUCAUUGGGCGUAAAGGGUGCGUAGGCGGCGGGGAAAGUCUGAUGUGAAAUCCUGGGGCUCAACCCUGGAACUGCAUUGGAUACUUCCUUGCUAGAGUACUGGAGAGGAAACUGGAAUUUACGGUGUAGCAGUGAAAUGCGUAGAGAUCGUAAGGAAGACCAGUGGCGAAGGCGAGUUUCUGGACAGUGACUGACGCUGAGACGCGAAAGCGUGGGGAGCAAACAGG